This is a non-coding RNA of Mycena leptocephala, 94 nucleotides long. Lineage: Eukaryota; Fungi; Basidiomycota; Agaricomycetes; Agaricales; Mycenaceae. The record is from the annotation of a GenBank genome assembly.
GCGACGGGUGCCGCCAUGGUUUAGCGUGUCUGGCUUUGAUAUAUUUCAUGUAUGGAAUAAUAGACCAGGAGCUAGGUUCGAUUCCUACCUUGCU